CCUUUCCCAGCCCUUGGAUGUUCCUCCUCCCUGGGAGGGAGGAAUGUGCUGCUUCUCCCAAGCCUCUGAAUGCUUCUGCAGGAAGGAGGUAGCCGGCCAACAUGAGGAGGAGGCAGGGACAGGGAACAGCCUCCUGUGAAGGCCACUUCAGAGGUAGAGGCCCACCCAGCAGGAGCAGGCCCUACUAGAGCCCCGUUCACAGCCAAGCGUUUUGUGAUUUUCCCUUUGACCUCCUCUUGCACCAGCAUGCCUCAUUCCAUCAGUCUUUCCCUGUGCCAAGAAAACUCCGGUGAAGAAAUGGGAUUUGAAGAAAAUACCAAAUUUCGCCCCAGGACAUGCAUUGACAGAACUGAUGGAUCCCAAGUUGUGUGUCAAAGUUGAAGCUGCACCCCAGGGCUAUUUGAUUCCCUCCCAGCCUUAUUUCUCCAUAAAAUUGGUAGCUGUUUGCAUACGAUUACAGAUGACAAAAUAAAGAAAGGUUACAGGAUCUGAGACAGCUUUGCCAAGAAACUUGAAAUAUUCGGGGACCCCCUAAUGUCCCAGCAGGCCCCAAGGUGAAGCAGUCACUGUGGCCAAACCUGCUGUGCCAGAUUUAUUCUAAAUUCUGAAACCUCCAUGCUGAGAGGUGGAACUCUGUCUCUUGUUAAAAGUGUCCCAUGUGCUCUUUGUUUUAGAUCCCAGUGCUUUGGAGAUGUUUAGGCUACUGGAUUUUCACCAGCACAGAGAGAACUUCGUAGAAUUGCUAGGAAAU
This 751-nucleotide long non-coding RNA is filed under the name Equus caballus (horse). RNAcentral describes it as "lncRNA (ENSECAG00000050452.1)". The record is from RNAcentral. Lineage: Eukaryota; Metazoa; Chordata; Mammalia; Perissodactyla; Equidae.